Long non-coding RNA from Cydia pomonella (codling moth), 377 nucleotides. RefSeq lists it as uncharacterized. The transcript has 2 exons. The record is from RefSeq and is a predicted model, not a curated record. NCBI's taxonomy places the organism in Eukaryota, Metazoa, Arthropoda, Insecta, Lepidoptera, Tortricidae.
GGGUUAGGGUCGGCAACGCGCAUGUAACUCCUCUGGAGUUGCAGGUGUACAUAUGCUACGGAGACUGCUUACCAUCAGGCAGGCCGUAUGCUUGUUUGCCACCGACGUAGUAUAAAAAAAAAAAAAAAAUCUAGAGCAGAGCCCAACUGGGGAAGCACCUCCACCUUACAGAAAAACAGCAGCCAAAUAACACUAGACCCUACUCAUAGUGUUGUGUUCCUGCCGGUGAGUAAGGUUGCCAGAGCUCAACGAGGGGGGGGGGGGGGUUUAGGGUCGGCAACGCGCAUGUAACUCCUCUGGAGUUGCAGGCGUACAUAGGCUACGGAAACUGCUUACCAUCAGGCGGGCCGUAUGCUUGUUUGCCACCGACGUAGUAU